This 400-nucleotide ribosomal RNA is filed under the name uncultured bacterium. RNAcentral describes it as "bacterial SSU rRNA". It matches the Rfam family "Bacterial small subunit ribosomal RNA", at positions 29 to 427 of the family's 1533-position model. The record is from RNAcentral.
AACGAACGCUGGCGGCGUGUCUUAAGCAUGCAAGUCGUGCGGCAAGGGUAGCAAUACCCCUAGAGCGGCGGACUGGUGAGUAACGCGUGGGUGAUCUGCCCUUGGGAUGGGGAUAGCCACUAGAAAUAGUGGGUAAUACCGAGUACGUUCCCCCGACUGUGGUUGGGGGAGGAAAAGCGCUUCGGCGCUGCCCGAGGAUGAGCCCGCGUCCCAUUAGCUAGUUGGUGAGGUAAAGGCCCACCAAGGCGAUGAUGGGUAGGCGGCCUGAGAGGGUGUACGCCCACACUGGGACUGAGAUACGGCCCAGACUCCUACGGGAGGCAGCAGCUAAGAAUAUUCCGCAAUGGACGAAAGUCUGACGGAGCGACGCCGCGUGGAUGAAGAAGGCCGAAAGGUUGUA